CUACGGACGCUGCAGUGGGGAAUAUUGCACAAUGGGGGAAACCCUGAUGCAGCAACGCCGCGUGGAGGAUGACACAUUUCGGUGCGUAAACUCCUUUUAUAGGUCAAGAUAAUGACGGUAGCCUAUGAAUAAGCGCCGGCUAACUCCGUGCCAGCAGCCGCGGUAAUACGGAGGGCGCAAGCGUUACUCGGAAUCACUGGGCGGAAAGAGCAUGUAGGCGGGUUAAUAAGUCAGAAGUGAAAUCCAAUAGCUCAACUAUUGAACUGCUUUUGAAACUGUUAACCUAGAGUGUGGGAGAGGUAGAUGGAAUUUCUGGUGUAGGGGUAAAAUCCGUAGAGAUCAGAAGGAAUACCGAUUGCGAAGGCGAUCUACUGGAACAUUACUGACGCUGAGAUGCGAAAGCGUGGGGAGCAAACAGGAUUAGAUACCCUAGUAGUC
RNAcentral lists this ribosomal RNA (438 nucleotides) under uncultured bacterium. Its description in RNAcentral is "partial 16S ribosomal RNA". It matches the Rfam family "Bacterial small subunit ribosomal RNA", at positions 339 to 795 of the family's 1533-position model. The record is from RNAcentral.